UUCUGCGCCGGGCGCAGUCUUCUCCGUGACUGACGAGGGACACUCCACCCACAGCCGCUGGCACCUCCUUCCCUUUCGCCUUCGCGAGCGCCCUCUGUAGCGGCACAUCGCAUCCCCUUCGCUGCUGCCGUCGCGAGGACUUCCUCCUCCGCGCAACCCUCUUUCUUGCGAUCCUCGAAGCGACUGAACGCUCCUAGCCGCCCACGCUUAUCCAUAAAAACCCUAGAAAGUAGUCUUCCUCCGUAAUCCUUGAAGCUUCACCUGUCGAUCGCCGUGAAAAUGGAGGAAAUUUGUUGCUGACGGCUUGAAUCGAAAUCAUUCUAGGGUGAGGCCGAUUCUGAACGCGGUCAUAAUUCCCUUAACGCAAAAACAAUGAGAAUGCUUCGAGGUAUUGUACUUCAGACAUUAUCUUCGCCUUCUUUAAGUGAGAUCUACAGCUUUGGCCCGUUUAACUACAACAUACAAAAACGAUGGAAGAAACCAGUAGAUUCUGCACAAACCCGUCUGGAGAGCAGAACAAUAGAUUUUACGUUAGACAAGCUGAUGAACCACUUAAAGAAGCUAAGGCAAGCACUGGGAGUUCAUGAGUUAAUGUCUAAACGUAGGGGUCACUACACGUCUGUCCAGCUGCUCUCGAAAUGGAGACAUAUGAGUGGCUUGAACACGAGUAUAGGUUCCUUUCUAAGGAAGUACCCUCACAUUUUUGAGGUGUACGUUCACCCAGUUAAGCGAAAUCUUUGCUGUAAAACAACACAAAAGAUGGUUGACUUGAUCACUCAGGAAAGUGUUGUCAUCAAAGAAACUGAACAGGAUGCUGUUCGGAGAUUGAAAAAACUUCUAAUGCUGUCCACAAAUGGGACUUUACACAUCCAUGCAUUAUGGCUUAUACGAGAGGAGUUGGGUUUGCCCGAUGAUUUCAGGAACUCAGUUAUUCCAAACUAUCCAGAUGAUUUUAGAGUUGAAGAACCAGAUACCUUGGUACUGAUAUCCUGGGACUCAAGUUUGGCAGAAGCAUCAAUUGAGAGAUGGAGGGAGAAUGAAUAUAGGGAAAAAUGGUUGAGUGAACAUGAAACUAAGUUUGCUUUCCCAAUUCAGUUUCCCACAGGCUAUAAGAUUGAAAAAGGGAUGAGAGAAAAGCUAAAGAAUUGGCAGAUGCUCCCUUACUUGAAACCUUAUGAGAAGAAGGAUGACCUCAGGGUUGGCAGUGCUACGCGAUUUGAAAAGCGUGUUGUCAGUAUUCUUCAUGAAUUUUUAAGCUUGUUGGUGGAGAAAAGGCUGGCGGUUGAAAGGCUGGCUCACUUCAGAAGAGACCUUAGUAUGGAAGUAAAUGUGAGAGAGCUAAUUCUUAAACACCCCGGCAUAUUUUACAUCUCCACAAAAGGGAAUGCCCAAACCAUGUUUCUUAGAGAAGCUUACUGCAAAGGUUCUCUUGUUGACCCCAACCCUAUUUAUGUAGUAAGAAAGAAAAUGCUAGAUUUGGUAUUGAUGGGAAGCAGAAACACUGGACAGGUGCAACAGAUGGAGCAAAUUGAAGAAAGACAUAACUUGUUAAGCAAUGAUUCUCUUAUAAAUGAUUGUAAUGAUGAUUGGUUUCUUCCAACCACUAAAGAUACUGUCGAAGGACAAAUUAUUGAUAAUCUUGACAGCAUUGGCGAGCAUUAUACUGAGGUAGAGCAGGAAUGAUUUCCUUUUCAGGAAGUUCCCAUGAGUCAUACAAAGACCAGAAGUGGAGGGAUAGCAUGCACCAUCGAGGAACACCCAACAACUCAGCUGCAAGAAGAGGUACAAUGUGGAAGUAGAGGGAGAGAGCUCAAAGACAGUCAACACAAGACAGCAACAGUAGCUCACUGAUAACUCCUGGAGCAGGAACUAGUUGACAGGAUGGAAUUCCUUGCUACAGAUCACAAGCCUUCAGAGAACCAGCUGUGCUAAUUGGAAAAGAUCAAACUGACAAGAAGUCUUUCUUGGGGCAGAUGUUUUCCUUGGCAAAAUUGAUAAUCAACCUAAAUGGCAUUCCGAGAACAGUGAGACUAAAAUGAACGUUGGGCAAAAGAUAAAAGUGCUCCCUUAUUAUUUUUUUUAAAAGGUUUUUUUUUCUGUGGUAGUUUUUUAUAAUGUGUUAAAAUAAAUUUUUAUUUAUAAUUAAAAACAUAGAGAGCUUUUUCAUAUAAA
Molecule: RNA transcript, 2172 nt
Organism: Zingiber officinale
Lineage: Eukaryota; Viridiplantae; Streptophyta; Magnoliopsida; Zingiberales; Zingiberaceae
Gene name: protein ROOT PRIMORDIUM DEFECTIVE 1-like
Exons: 4
Source: RefSeq, a predicted model, not a curated record